This is a small nuclear RNA of Choloepus didactylus (southern two-toed sloth), 107 nucleotides long. NCBI's taxonomy places the organism in Eukaryota, Metazoa, Chordata, Mammalia, Pilosa, Megalonychidae. The record is from RefSeq and is a predicted model, not a curated record.
UGCUGUGCUCAAUCUGUAAGAUACUAAAAAUUAGAAUGAUACAGAGAAGAUGAGCUUGGCCCCCAUGCAAGGAUGACACACAAAUUCUUAAAGUGUUCCAUAUUUUU